Molecule: ribosomal RNA, 417 nt
Filed under: Triticum aestivum (bread wheat)
Lineage: Eukaryota; Viridiplantae; Streptophyta; Magnoliopsida; Poales; Poaceae
Description: partial small subunit ribosomal RNA
Source: RNAcentral
AUGGCGUGUGAGGCUAAAAAGAGAUCUCUAAAUGAGAAUCCUGACACUGUUUCCUGGUCCUUGAAUAAUGGGGGCAAAUUUACCACUAAAUCUGUUUAUGAGUGGCUGGAGAGAGAUUUAUCUGGCCCUAACUAUAAGUGGGUAUGGAAAGCUGCGAUCCCCUUGAAAAUAAAAAAAUUCCUUUGGCAAUUGUUUCAAAAUGUUGUGCUUACGCGCGAUAACAUGUGGCAUAGGAAUUGACCAGGAAAUCCUAUGUGCUCUUUUUGCACAAACGUGGAAACUGCUAACCACCUCUUUUUCACUUGUCCUCUCGCCCGCAGAGUCUGGGGCGUGCUGGGAUUGACUGCUGGGCUUCUUGUGCCCCAGGUCUAUUUGGCAAAGUCUUGCUUGGUUAUACAAAUUAUUCCCAGGUGGUAA